This is a non-coding RNA of Podarcis lilfordi (Lilford's wall lizard), 84 nucleotides long. The record is from the annotation of a GenBank genome assembly. Lineage: Eukaryota; Metazoa; Chordata; Lepidosauria; Squamata; Lacertidae.
GGCCAUAGCUCAGUGGUGGCUGAGCAUCUGCUUUAAAUGCAGAAGGUCCUAGUUUGAAUACCUAAUAUCUCUAGGUAGGGCUCA